Molecule: long non-coding RNA, 6622 nt
Filed under: Pelobates cultripes (western spadefoot toad)
Lineage: Eukaryota; Metazoa; Chordata; Amphibia; Anura; Pelobatidae
Source: RNAcentral
CAUGGGGACACUAGGAGACAUCGGGAUACAGAGGGCACUAAGACACUGGGAUCCAUAGUCUAUGUCCCCAAGUGUCUCAGUGUCCCCAUGUCUCACAGUGUCCCCUAGUGACAUGGGGACACUGGGAGACAUGGGGACACAGACACUAGGGGACACUGGGUGUAAUCUAUCAAUACAGCAGAAUCAAACUAAGUAGUUUUUUGGUGAUUUCACAGAAUUUUCUCUGUCACUCCUUGUAAUUUACAUCAUGUGAUGUUACACAUUGGCAACCCUAACUACUCUUCACAUAUUCUUGCUUAAGUAUGGAAACUUAAGAGGCAUAUGUGGAAACAAAACUUGUGUGAACUAGCUGAAAUGAAAUUAGUUAAGGUAAUACUGACUUUGGUCUCUCAAACACUGCGGCAUGUUCCCUUUCUUCUACACUCACUACAUCCACCUUUUCUCUGUCUCAGACUGUAUACCAGGAGCUUCUGCCUACUAGUAAGAAGGUAAGGAGACAAGUGGACAUGUGAGUGCUAGUGGACUGUCCUUAGAAAGCAUGGAGCGAGCGCAUCAUUAGACGCAUUUAUGCCAAGCUCAGGAUGCUGUUGGCCAGCAUGCAUGAUUGGCAGGCAGCCUGACAUGUAUUCAUCCCAGGCUAGCCUUCAAUUCUUUGGGCAGACAUGCCUCGUUUUUGGUCAUAUUCGCCCCUUUCGGAAGUCCUGGUUAUAUGAUCCGCGUCAGUGGUCCACCCUAUUACACCACCCAUUAACUUCCUGCUUCUGUGGACACUGUUGUUAGGAGAUAUGGAUUUACUUGAAAGAUGAAAGUAUGAAUUAGAGAGAGAUUAGCAUAUUUUAAGAGAAUCUGAUUUUUUAUUUUUAUAUAGCUGCAUCCUAUGAGUUGAGGAACACUGUGUGCGCAUUUAAAAUACUUGAAACAGGAAGGUGGUUGAAUUCAAUGCUUUCAUUUGAGCUGCAAUACAAGCAUUGUAGUUUCUACAAAACCACAAUGUGUUACAUUGCAGGGUUAAAAAUAACAGGACCACUGCACCCAGACCACUUCAUGGAGAUGAAGUUGUGUGGGUGACAUUAGUGAUCCUUUAAGAUUAUGGAGGAAGGGGGCAUUAAAGAAACACUCUAAUGUUAGGAAUACAAACGUGUUUCUAAUGUUAGAGUAUUUUACUGCCGACUUAGACUAAUGGGCCCCCAGAUGUCAGAAAAUAAAGUAUUUUACUUACCGUCUACCGCCUGGGGUGCCGGUCUUGCUACAGCCGCUCCUCCUUCUCUUGCUGAGAACACCAUACUGAUCAUCUCAAACAAUCCAAUAAUUACCAAGCUGUGCCAAUCAGCAUUUCCUAAUACAGAUGCAUCAAGUCAGUGCAUUUCUAUGAGGAACAUUCGUGCAUAGCGAAUUAGCAUGCUUGCGCUGUGUUUGCUUGUGACUUGUCUCUGGUGUCUCAGUAAGUUGGUUACCAGAGGACAAAAGGGCCAGGAAAGCGCAUUGUGCGUGUGUUUGGAGCCUGCUUGUGGUGUUGUGUGUCAGUAGAGUGAGCUGUAAAGAGUGUUUUCUGUAAAUGUCGGUUUCAGUUGUACUGUGUUUGUGGUGUAAUAUAUGUGGCUAGGGAUGUAGAGUGUUUGUGUGUAUGUAUAUGGGGCAUAGUGUGUAUAGUGGAUAUAGCAAGUGUGUGCAUCGGGGAUGUAGUGUAUGUGCUUAUAGAAAGUGUGUGUGUUUAGGGAAUGUAGUGUUUGUUUGCUUACAGGGUAUCUAGUGUGGGCAUAGGUGAUUCAGAGUGUGUGGCAUGUGGAGGAGAUCGAGUGUGUGUGUGUGUGUGUGGAGGACCCAGUGUGUGUAUGAGAUUUAGUGUGUGUAUGUGUGUGUGUGGGGAGAGGAUCCAGAGUUGUGCAGGGGAUCUAGUGUGUGUGUGUGUAUAAGGGAUGAAGUGUGUCUGGAAUGGAAUGUGAGUAGGUGUGCACUGUGUGUGUGUUAAUGGUGCAGUGUGUGUAUGUAUGUGAGGGGUGCAGUGUGUGUGAAGGGCACAGAUUGUGUUUGAGGGGUGCAAUGUGUGUGUGUAAGGAAUGCAGUGUGUGUCUGUGUUUAAGGGGUGCAGUGUGUGAAGGGUGCGUGUGUUUAUGAUGCAGAGGGAAGAUUAAAGCAAUAUAAUAUAUAUAUUUUAUAACCCCUUUCUCUUUUCACCUUUGUCUGGGAGGGGGGGCAUGGAGGUGUGUUUAGGGAAUGUAGUGUGUGUGUUUUUUUACAGGGGAUCUAGUCUGAGCAUGGGUGAUUCAGAGUGUGUAGUGGUGAUCGAGUGUGUGUGUGCAGGAUCCAGUGUGUAUAUGAGAUUUAGUGUGCGUGUAUAGAGCAUUCAGAGUGUGUAUAAAGGUUCUUCAGAGUGGCGUAUAAUAUUGAGAUUACUGCAUGGGCCAACCAGGGAGAUCUCUUGAUCUCCCCUCUCGGCCUUGGCCCCAUGGCCGUUGCAGCCCACCGGACAUUUGCCCAGGUUUGCACGAUGGCCAGGUACACUGGAAAUGGAGAUGAGGAUCCUAUGGCACGAGAUAUGCAAAUGAUUGCUGCAAAAAACUUGCAGAUAACUUGUGAUGGGAUGCUUGGAUGCUACAGCAGUUAAAAAAAAAUUAAUGUAAAUAAAACUCCGGGGCCUGACGGUAUUCACCCACGAGUACUUGAGGAGUGAAGUGUGGAAAUAAGUGAACCUCUGUAUUUAAUCUUUCAAGAUUCUUUUGUUUCAGGAAUUGUUUGGGUGUUGCAGUGGAUGUGAUCUACUUGAAAUUGCCAAGGCAUUUGAUAUGGUUCCUCACAACAGGUUAGUUUUUAAACUAAAAGAAAUUGGUCUAGAUGAAUAUUCUUGGGUAGAACAUUGGCUUAAGGAUAGAGUACAACGAGUUGUCACAAAAGUGGUAAGUAGUGUCCCUCAGAGUUCUGUUUUGGGACAGCUUCUAUUUAACAUAUUUAUAUGAUCUUGAAAUAGGCAUUGAAAGCCAUGUAUCAGUGUUUGCAGAUGACACAAAACUUUGUAAAGUAAUAAAAUGUGAGCAGGACGCUGAUUUGCUGCAGAGGGAUUUAGAUAGAUUGGGGGACUGGGCACUAAAAUGGCAAAUGAAAUGUAAUGUAGAGAAAUGCAAAGUUAUGAACUCUGGGGUAAAGAAUGCACAAGCAACUUACACCCUAAAUGGUAGUGGAUAAUGGAUAACCACACACAAGAAGGAUUUAUGAAUUGUUAUAUUAUUGUUAUAUUAAUUGUUAUAAAUUAGGCAGCAAUAUGCAAUGUCAAUCUGCAGUUGCUAAGGCCAGUAAGGUUUUGUCAUGUAUAAAUAGGGGCAUAAAUUCUCAGGAUGAAAAUAUAAUUUUGCCUCUUUAUAAAAUCGCUGGUAAGACCACACCUUGAAUAUGAUGUGCAAUUUUGGGCACCUGUUCUAAAGAAGGAUUUCAUGGCACUAGAAAAAGUGCAGAAAUUAGGUACAAAAUUGAUCAAAUAAAUGGAUAAUUUAAGUUAUGAGGAAAGAUUAAAAAAUUUAAAUUUCUGGGACAGGGCUUGGCCGCCAUUCUAAACGGUCACAUAGAACAAGGGCUCCUUAUCUAGAAUGCCCUAAUCUCUGCUAAAUUGCCUAUAUAGGGGUGCAAGCUACUCCUCAAAUUACCUAGAUGCGUCUGGUACACUGCUGGGCACCAAUCUGUGCAUUUCAUUGCCCUGCAGCAGAAGAGCUCUAGUCUAAUUACGGCCUAGUGUGGUCUCGACUGGAGGGGGCAGCGACCUCCUUGGUGGAGUCCUGCAGGCUGUGCUGUGGCCAGGUCUCGUAUUCCUCCCCCCUUUGGACCGGUGGGGGUCAUCCCAGUCUCCACCUGCCCUCCAGGUGGGCAGCGGUGUGCUGUAUGCUCUCUAGAUGGCAGGGGAUUUCAGGCUCACACAAGGCUCUGCGGCGGAUUCACCUGGAGAGAUGCCUUCUGCUCCUGAUUUGACCAAGUAUGUGUGCAAUUCUGGCACCGACUUGAGAUGAGGGCAACAUGCGUUUACUCACCAGCUGAGCCUUUACCUCCCAGAGCUCCCAUGGACAGUUCCUUGCAUUCUGGGCCAGGAGCCCACAGGGGGCUUCAACCUGAGCACUGUCCACGUGCUCGAGAGAAAUCUCCUCACCAAGAUCUUGCCUGGGAUCUUAGCCUAGUUGCUUGGGUCUGUGGACAUUGUGCAGUUUUUCCAUUACUGGUCCAGAGCUUGCAGGACGGGCUAUAGAUAGGAUGGGGUGUGUGCUCGGCGGAUCCGAUCCACACGCAGUGUCUGCAGGCCUUCUACAGCAUUGGCAUAGGCUGACUGACUUUCAAGCGUUCUCAUUCGCCCACUGGCCUAUCAAGCUCUAUUGCAAACUGAUUGCCCCACAGCUCCUCUGUUUUACCUAAUUUCUGUUGAUCACUCAUUCUCUUAAUUUUGCAUAGAAGUAACUACUAUAUUAGUAAGCUUUCGCUGGUGGGAUGGUAUUAAUCUUUAAUAGUCUGGUUAUAGGCUUAGCCUAUAACUCUCAGGCAGCAUGUUAUUCUCUGGCAGCAUCUCAGCAACAUAUACUGUAAAUGACCAUAUUAUUACGUAUAAGCUUGGUUAUACCUAAAAGUAAUUCUCAUGUGUAUCUUAAUCCAAUCACCAUGCAUAUUCUGUAUAGAGUGAAGAUGCUAAUCUUAUAUUUGCCGCUACCAGACUAUUAGUUUUCUUUUUUAAUUUUUGCAUGUUUCCUUAACCAUACCUAUAUAACUUUUAAAAGGGGACUGUACACUCAUUAUCUGUGACACGAUUAUGCUUCAACCAUAUUGUACAUUAAUGUCUUAAAACUGCUGUAUGAAUGCCAUGCCCACAAAAAAUAAAGAAUAACAUUUUUUUUUUAUUAGGUUAGAAAAACGGCACCUCACAGGGGAUAUAAUCGGGGGGCCAGUACAAACCACUAUCUGGAAAUCUAUUCAUAAACAGGGCUAUACAUAGGACACAAGGUCACGCAUUUAGGCUGGAAGAAAGGAGAUUUUUACAGUAAGAGCAAUAAAGAUGUGGAAUUCUCUGCCUGAAGAGGUAGUUUUAUCAGAGUCCAUACAGAUGUUUAAACUGAAAUUGGAUAAAUAAUUGCACAAACAUAACAUACAGGGAUAUCAUUUCUAAUUAGUGGGGUAAUAGCUGCUUGAUCCAAGGAGACAUCUGACUGCCAUUUUGGAGUCAAGAAGGAAUUUUUUCCUUGUUUGUUGCAAAAUUGGAAGUGCUUCAGACUGGGGUUUUUUGCCUUCUUUUGGAUCAACAGCAAAAACAUAUGUGAGGAAAGCUGAACUUGAUGGACGCAAGUCUCUUUUGAGCCUAUGUAACUAUGUAAUUAUGAGUGCCAUCUUAUCUCACCAUGCUUUCACUUGCUAACACCUCCAGGGACAUUGCACAGUCUCAUUCUAGUCUAGUAGCCUAGACAACCACAGAUGUUGGGUCCAAAUAAGCCAGCCCAGGUCUGGAGAAUAUUAAGACUAUGGGUCAAACCACUCAAGUGCUGAGUUAGCAAAGGCUCUCCACGAGUCCUGUUUGCUGUUUCACUCUUCCAUUACUGUGCCAACAAACAACUCAACACACCUCUUGCUAUUUUAAGAAUAAGAAUGAUGUUAAGCUGCGGCCCAAAACCCCAUUUAAUAGUGAUCCCCACCCCUCUUUGUCAGCUUUCCAAUUAUUGUACAAAUUAAACACUUUUCACUUUAUUUUAAAUAGAAGAAACAUACUGUGGUUUUCUUUAGAAUUUGGUAUUUUCAGUCAGAAAUUUUGCAUCCUAUGGAGACUUCCUGGUUUUCAUGUGUUAACGGGACACUCUAAGCACCAUGGCUUCUACAGACAAUUGAAGUAUCUACAAAUUAAGACAUACUCACCACUGAACAGCAUCACCAUCAUACUCCACAACCCACACAUUUGACUUUGAGCAGAAACCACAAACAGAACUAAUACUGUUUUUUUCAUGAGCACCAAGCAUGCGGAUAUACCCCUUUCUGCAAACAGACACACCGCCAAUAUCCUUUCCACACCACACCAAUUUCUUCUCUGCAGAACCACCAAUGUCCACUUCCCCAAACUCACCAAUGUCCACUUCCCCACACUCACCACCAAUUUAUAGCUAUAAAUACGCACAAUUUCAAUCCCUCUUUCUUCAAAUAGAAGAAAUGUAUAUUGACUCUGAAUAGUGGAUGGAUUUAAAGUGGCACUAUAGGCACCCAGACCACUUCAACUCAUUGAAGUGGUCUGGUUGGAUAGUCCCAGGUCCCUUAACCCUGCAAAGGUAAUUAUUGCAGUUUUUAAUAAACUGCAAUAAUUACUUUUGUGGGUUAACUCCAGCUCAAGUGGCUGUCUACUAGAGGUACUUCCGAAUGGUUAGGUGACUUUUGGUCGCCUUACUGACACUGGAUGUCCUCACGCUAUGCAUGAGGACAUCCAGCAUCACCCAAAACCCCACAGGAAAGAUGGAGGGAAGUCCUAAUGCAAGCACGGCCAUUGCAGCGCACAUGCAUUAGGUCUCCAACGCAGGAGAAAAAAAAACAAUAACAAAUAAAGGGAAGUGAAAUCAAAUCAAAGUUAGUGGUCGGAAAAUCUAUCAUAUAAUGUCAUGCUGCAGCAUCGUCCUUUAUCUCU